RNAcentral lists this long non-coding RNA (1548 nucleotides) under Nicotiana benthamiana. RNAcentral describes it as "long non-coding RNA (NBEN_LNC032428)". The record is from RNAcentral. Lineage: Eukaryota; Viridiplantae; Streptophyta; Magnoliopsida; Solanales; Solanaceae.
CACCUCUGAAACCUCCCUUUCUCUCAAAGGAUCACGAAACCAUAACUCUUGUCACCCUUCUUUGACCUCAAUCUCAUCGGAGUCCAUGGCUUCUCAAGCCAUGGACGGCCUGUACUCACCUUUCUUCACCCCAAAACCAUGGGUGUUCGAGAUUUCGACAUCUGACCUUGAUGGCAUCCAUACAGAUCCUUCACAUAUCAGUGGUUAUAUGGUCUCUCCGGCCUUGCUUCGAUGUAUUCGAGCUUUAGGAGGCUAGCUUUGGCCAUCUCCGACUCCAGACUAGACUUACUUCCAAACCUUCUCAUUUUUAAUUUUUCAGAGAAAACCUAAAGCUAUUUGAGGUUCCUUCUUAUUUUAUUUGCCUAGAUCUGUGGUGAAUCUAUGCUAUCUUCUAUGUUUUAAGAUUGUUCCCCAAUUUUCCUUUUCUUUUAAAAAGAAAAAUAGUUUGUUUUCGAUUUAAGGUUUAUAAACAAAAUGACUUCUGUCUCUUCUUCUUCUUCUUUUCUUUGUGUGAAUUUAUCUAUGCCAUGUUCUUAUGAGUUUUUCUCUUUUGUUUUUAUAUUUUCCAUGUUAUGAGUGUACUUCUAUUCUAUUAUUCUUUCUACUGAUUUCUAUAAGCUAGGUUUUUCAUGUCUAUCUCGUAUGUUCCGUUACUGCAUUUUACCGAGCUUUUAAUAUAUUUUUUGCCUUUACCGGACUUUUGUUUUAAACUCUAAGCAUGCUUCCUCUACUCUUUCCGCCUCCUCUCUUCUAAACUUAGUUAAGUAACAAGUUGUGCUUAAAUGUGUUCCCUGUGUUUCAAAUUAGUUUCCACAUUUUGUUUGCCUUGAGCCUGCUAUUUUCUUUGUUUGUUUUUCUCAUAAGUCUCUGAAGGAGACUAGUGAACCCUCUCUUUUGUGACUCUAAAUCUUUUCUAUACGAUGUUCUCUUGUUUGUGUUGUUUGUGUGCUGUAUAUAUGAGCACCUUUCUCUCGCCUUUCUACCAAUUUGUGAUUGAUUCCGAAUUCUUUUUUAGGGUUUGAUUAAUUGUUACUGAUUUUCUUUAAAUUAAGACUCUCUUCACCUUUCCUGGUUGGAUUCAUUCAUACCAAGACUCAAAUCCUGAUUAUACUGGAUGUUGAUUAGCUGAAGAGUCAUGCUGAAUCGAUUCAUACGCAUGAUUGUUCGGUCAUACAUGGGAAUCUCUUCACAACAUUUGAAAUCAAUGACUAUUCAGCAGUUUCGCAUGAUGCUUUCUACGAUUAUUGUUGAGUUGACGUGAAUGUCAUUUGAAUUAUACUCACAGGUCGCAGCAGCGUAAUAAUGCGAUGACACUCAUUACGACCUCUAUGGGUGGUAUUAGCACAUUCUGCUCAUUUCCUUGAGGAAGGAAAGGUUAAUUUGCACAGACAUUACGUCUAGUUAUGGAGAUAAUGGCUAUUAAGUGGAUUAGCAUCACAUUUUAUAUUAUAGAUUGCAAUUCCUAAUACAAAGUUUAAGAAUCUCUCAACUUUGCUCCUAGAAAGAAUGUAACUGUCAAAUUUUAGUCCCUUUUUUCGCAUAUCUUUC